UACGAAGGGGGCUAGCGUUGUUCGGAAUUACUGGGCGUAAAGCGCGUGUAGGCGGGUCUUUAAGUCAGGGGUGAAAUGCCAAGGCUCAACCUGGGAACUGCGUCCGAUACUGGAUGGCUUGAAUCCGGGAGAGGGAUGCGGAAUUCCAGGUGUAGCGGCGAAAUGCGUAGAUAUCUGGAGGAACACCGGUGGCGAAGGCGGCAUCCUGGACCGGCAUUGACGCUGAGGAGCGAAAGCCAGGGGAGCAAACGGG
RNAcentral lists this ribosomal RNA (253 nucleotides) under uncultured bacterium. RNAcentral describes it as "partial 16S ribosomal RNA". It matches the Rfam family "Bacterial small subunit ribosomal RNA", at positions 524 to 776 of the family's 1533-position model. The record is from RNAcentral.